UGUACGUUUUCUUCAAAUUCUUCGUAUGUUACACAUAGACAGGCAAGGAGGUACUUGGCGACUCCUUGGAUCAGUAGUAUUCAUUCAUCGGCAGGAGCUGAUAACUACUUUAUACAUAGGCUUCCUUGGACUUAUAUUUACCUCAUACUUUGUUUACUUGGCGGAGAAGGAUCACAUAGAUGCUAAGGGUAUUUGUCAGUUUGAGACCUACGCAGACGCUUUAUGGUGGGGUGUGGUAACCGUGACGACCAUCGGCUACGGAGACAAAGUCCCCAAUACUUGGCUUGGCAAGAUGAUUGCGUCCUGCUUCUCCAUAUUUGCGAUUUCUUUCUUUGCUUUAC
Lytechinus pictus (painted urchin) is the source of this 341-nucleotide long non-coding RNA. RefSeq lists it as uncharacterized. Lineage: Eukaryota; Metazoa; Echinodermata; Echinoidea; Temnopleuroida; Toxopneustidae. The record is from RefSeq and is a predicted model, not a curated record. The transcript has 3 exons.